UUAGCCGGGUGCUUAUUCUUGCGAGUACACGUCACAGGCCACACUGUAUUAGGCGCCAACUCUUUCCUCCUCGCUGAAAGUGCUUUACAACCCGAAGGCCUUCUUCACACACGCGGCAUGGCUGCAUCAGGGUUUCCCCCAUUGUGCAAUAUUCCCCACUGCUGCCUCCCGUAGGAGUCUGGACCGUGUCUCACUUCCAGUGUGGCUGAU
This 210-nucleotide ribosomal RNA is filed under the name Aeromonas salmonicida. Its description in RNAcentral is "partial 16S ribosomal RNA". The record is from RNAcentral. Lineage: Bacteria; Pseudomonadati; Pseudomonadota; Gammaproteobacteria; Aeromonadales; Aeromonadaceae.